GCGUUGGUGGUUCAGUGGUAGAAUUCUCACCUUCCAUAUGGGAGACCCAGGUUCAAUUCCGGGACAAUACA
RNAcentral lists this transfer RNA (71 nucleotides) under Loxodonta africana (African savanna elephant). It matches the Rfam family "tRNA". Rfam says of the family: Transfer RNA (tRNA) molecules are approximately 80 nucleotides in length. Their secondary structure includes four short double-helical elements and three loops (D, anti-codon, and T loops). Lineage: Eukaryota; Metazoa; Chordata; Mammalia; Proboscidea; Elephantidae. The record is from Rfam by way of RNAcentral.